This 468-nucleotide ribosomal RNA is filed under the name uncultured bacterium. RNAcentral describes it as "partial 16S ribosomal RNA". It matches the Rfam family "Bacterial small subunit ribosomal RNA", at positions 28 to 507 of the family's 1533-position model. The record is from RNAcentral.
GACGAACGCUGGCGGCGUGCUUAACACAUGCAAGUCGAACGGAAAGGCCCUGCUUUUGUGGGGUGCUCGAGUGGCGAACGGGUGAGUAACACGUGAGUAACCUGCCCUUGACUUUGGGAUAACUUCAGGAAACUGGGGCUAAUACCGGUUAGGAGCUCCUGCUGCAUGGUGGGGGUUGGAAAGUUUCGGCGGUUGGGGAUGGACUCGCGGCUUAUCAGCUUGUUGGUGGGGUAGUGGCUUACCAAGGCGUUGACGGGUAGCCGGCCUGAGAGGGUGACCGGCCACAUUGGGAAUGAGAUACGGCCCAGACUCCGACGGGAAGCAGCAGUGGGGAAUAUUGCACAAUGGGCGGAAGCCUGAUGCAGCAACGCCGCGUGCGGGAUGACGGCCUUCGGGUGGUAAACCGCUUUCGCCUGUGUCGAAGCGUGAGUGACGGUAAUGGGUAAAGAAGCACCGGCUAACUACGUG